Molecule: ribosomal RNA, 251 nt
Filed under: uncultured bacterium
Lineage: Bacteria
Description: partial 16S ribosomal RNA
Rfam family: Bacterial small subunit ribosomal RNA
Source: RNAcentral
AGACUUUGAUCCUGGCUCAGGAUGAACGCUAGCGGCAGGCCUAACACAUGCAAGUCGAGGGGCAGCACGGUGUAGCAAUACACUGGUGGCGACCGGCGCACGGGUGCGUAACGCGUAUGCAACCUACCCAUAACAGGGGGGAUAACACUGAGAAAUUGGUACUAAUACCCCCAUAACAUCAGGACCGGCAUCGGUUCUGGUUGAAAACUCCGGUGGUUAUGGAUGGGCAUGCGUUGUAUUAGCUGGUUGGU